Molecule: ribosomal RNA, 253 nt
Filed under: uncultured bacterium
Lineage: Bacteria
Description: partial 16S ribosomal RNA
Rfam family: Bacterial small subunit ribosomal RNA
Source: RNAcentral
UACGUAGGGUGCGAGCGUUGUCCGGAAUUAUUGGGCGUAAAGGGCUCGUAGGCGGUCUGUCGCGUCGGGAGUGAAAACUCAGGGCUUAACCCUGAGCCUGCUUCCGAUACGGGCAGACUAGAGGUAUGCAGGGGAGAACGGAAUUCCUGGUGUAGCGGUGAAAUGCGUAGAUAUCGGGAGGAACACCAGUGGCGAAGGCGACUACCUGGCCUGUUCUUGACGCUGAGGCGCGAAAGCUAGGGGAGCAAACGGG